AUGGGGUCUAAGUCAUCUUCCCCCGUUAUCCUGACACCACUGUUGCCCCAGGCCUGGGCUGAGGCCAGUGGUGCCUAUACUCCCGGGAAGGAUAAGCCCGACUUGCCAACCUGGAAGAGGAAUUUCCGGUCCGCCCUGAACCGGAAGGAAGUGGUGCGUGUAGCAGAAGACCGGAGCAAGGACCCUCACGACCACAGGCAGCCCUCAGGCCUCGCUGUGGCCCCUGAGCCCCACCCUCAGCUCUUGCUGAGCCCCAGCUUGGACAGUCCCGCUCCCCACCCAAACCCGGAGCUCCCUGAAAACCCACUGAGGCGGCUGCUGGUGCCGGAGGAAGAGUGGGAGUUCGAGGUGACAGCCUUCUACCGGGGCCGCCAAGUCUUCCAGCAGACCAUCUCGUGCCCAGGGGGCCUGCGGCUGGUGGGGUCUGAAGCAGUAGACAGGAUGCUCCCUGGGCAGCCAAUAACACUGCCAGACCCUGGGCUGUCCCUGACAGACAGGGGAGUGAGGGGCUACGUGAGGCGUGUGCUGAGCUGCCUGGGGGGGGGCCUGGCUCUACGGCGGGCCGGGCAGCGGCUCUGGGCCCAGCGACUGGGGCACUGCCACACGUACUGGGCCGUGGGCGAGGAGCUGCUCCCCAACAGCGGGCAUGGGCCUGAUGGUGAGGUCCCAAAGGACAAGGAAGGAGGCGUGUUCGACCUGGGGCCCUUCGUGGCAGAUCUGAUUACCUUCAUCGAAGGAGGCAGAUGCUCACCACGCUACACCCUCUGGUUCUGCAUCGGAGAGCCAUGGCCCCAGGACCAGCCAUGGACCAAGAAGCUCGUGAUGGUUAAGGUGGUUCCCACGUGCCUCAGGGCCCUGUUAGACAUGGCCCGGUCAGGGGGCGCCUCCUCACUGGAGAACACCGUGGACCUGCACAUUUCCAACAGCCACCCACUCUCCCUCACCUCCGACCAGUGCAAGGCCUACCUACAGGACCUGGUUGAGGACAUGGAUUUCUAGGUCCCUGGGGCAGCCUGAGCCCUUGAUCCUCACGGGUGCAGGCCCCUAACACUCAUCCUUGACCAAUAAACUGGUUCCUACUGUG
Molecule: RNA transcript, 1084 nt
Organism: Propithecus coquereli (Coquerel's sifaka)
Lineage: Eukaryota; Metazoa; Chordata; Mammalia; Primates; Indriidae
Gene name: interferon regulatory factor 3 pseudogene
Exons: 2
Source: RefSeq, a predicted model, not a curated record